Molecule: long non-coding RNA, 2309 nt
Filed under: Homo sapiens (human)
Lineage: Eukaryota; Metazoa; Chordata; Mammalia; Primates; Hominidae
Description: HSALNT0066869
Source: RNAcentral
CUGCUCUGCAGUCUUUGGCUUGCCAGUACUGACCUCCUUAGGUCAAUAGGACAUUUAGUGUGUGCUGGGCAGUAGGGCAGAGGAGGGAUAAAGGAUGAGUCACACAAGCCCUAUGGGGGCUCACAGUCCAAGGAAGGAGAGAACAUCCACCUGCAGAUAAGUGCACAAUGCUAGGUGCCUGAAAAGAGGCACAGAGGGGGCUCUAGAAAUUGCAGGUGGGAAUUCAGAGUCCUGUCCAGCUCAGUGGUGUUGGGAGAGAGGGAAGGGGAUGGGAAUGGGAUGUUAGAAAAGAUGUCUGGGAGAAGGUGGCUUUGAAUUGGAUCAAGUAGGAUAUACAGGAUUUGGUCAGGCAAAGAUGUGGAAUAAUCUAGAGAACAGUGAGCGGGAAGAUGAAAAAGGCAGGCAGAUACAUGAGACUGUGAAGAGGUCAGUUUGGCAGAUGCAAAGUACACAGGGUGUGGUUGGGGUUAGAGAGAGUUGACGCUGGGGAGACAGGUGGUUCCCAUUAUGAACAGACUUGAGUGUCAUUUUAUGGACUUUAGAUUUGGGAGAUGCCUAUUGUCUGUCUCACUAGAUCUAGUCUCCACUCCACAGUGGUAGACUGUUUGCAAACCCAUCCUUAGUUAUUCCCCUCCUGGACCCAUGCCCCCUUGUGCUGUAACUUUGACUGCUCUCCCACUCUGAUUCUGAGCUCUGACAUGUAACUUGCUUGGUCAAUGGGAUGUCAGCAGUUGUCUCUGCAUAAGCAGAGACUUGAAAAAUGAUUGCGCACUGGUGUUUGUCCUCUCUUGCUGCUCCUGGAAUCCUGCUGCCACAUGAAUGAGCAUGCUGAAGGCUAAGAGGCUAUGUGGAUGGAGAAGCACUGAAGCUCCCCGUCUGGCACUCAGCCGACCAUAGAUGCCUGAGUGAGUGCUAGCAGAGGAGAACCAUGGAGAGGAGGGGAGGCUGGACCGGGCUUCACCUCACACGGUGCAGGAAUGGCCACAAAGUCCUGAUGAAGAGCAGCCCCUGCGGGACAUCCCUGACAAACAACCCUACAGCUUCUGCUUGAGUCUCCCCAGCAUGGGGAACUCACCACCUUCCAAGGCACCUCUCUUGUAAAUGAAGAAAUUAAAACUGCAAGUUGAAACUGAGUCACUGAUGGCGCCAGAUGUUUCUGGAGCAAAACUGGGAAAGAGGGUGAGCAUUGGAAAGACACCUCCUCCUGUUAUCUUCGAGAAGCCAUUUACUGGGAAAACAAAAACUGAGCUCCAUGAUGCAUAAAUUCCAAAAUGCAGAGGCCAAUUUCUUUCCCUUUGACCACAUGUCGGAAAGGCUCGGGGUUCAGUAACUGGAGGAGGCAGUGUUUAAUCCCAAUUUUACCAGUGAAGAAACUGAGGCUCAGAAAAACAAAGUGACUCCAAAUUCCUUGAGCACCUGGCCAGGGUCAGUCCCCACGGUGGCUGAGAUGGUUGACCAAUGGCCUCUGGGGAGAAGGCUAUGGGCACAGACACUGGUCCCUGGCUUGUUGGGAGGGAACAAGGAUGUCCAUCUGUCCUCCCUCAACACUGCCUCCUGGGGGACAAGGAAGAUGCCCAGAGUGAGUGGGCAGGGUGGGCGAUGGACUCAUACCCUGCCUUGGUGUCUCUGUGGCUCCUGGAAGAUCCUUGCAAGCAGCGGUGAGCACUGUGACUUGAGCCCUGCGGUGGUGGCUUGCCAUGUGGCCAGUCAAGGUGGACGAUGGACUCAUAUGCUGCCUGGGUGUCUCUGUGACUCUUGGGAGAUCCUUGCUGGCAGCGGUGAGCACUGUGACUUCAGCCCUGCAGUGGUAGCUGGUCACAUGGCCAGUCAAGGCUCAGUCUUCUUAGUAAUCAAAGGACUGAAAGUGUCCAGUAGCUUUGGAUGAUGGUUGAGGACUCGUUAAUAAAGACCACUGCCCUAUGGGAAUGCGUUAUACUCUCUGGAAUGAGCCGUGCAGGUGGGCUCAGAGAACAUACCAUUUGCACACUCAUAACAAUGUAAAAGUAUGAAAGUAAAAGUCAUAUGAAAUCCUCCUGUGCAGAGCUAGUUAAUGUUGGGUGACUGUCACUCCAGGCAUCUGUCUUUGCACUUGCAAGAGGGAUAACAUGUAGGUAAAUAGGAAAACACUGUACAGUAUAUGCUAUCCUUUACUUACUUUAGUCAAUGGUAUAUCAACAAACAUAAAUCUAUAUCAUUUUAACUGCAUCUGAUUCCAUUGUAUGAAUGUACCUUACUUUAUUUAAUCAGUAGGCUUCUGAUUGCAAUUUGCAUUGGGUUUUGCAUUUCAGCCAUCUUUCGUGAUCCUUAAA